This 478-nucleotide ribosomal RNA is filed under the name uncultured bacterium. Its description in RNAcentral is "partial 16S ribosomal RNA". It matches the Rfam family "Bacterial small subunit ribosomal RNA", at positions 28 to 523 of the family's 1533-position model. The record is from RNAcentral.
GACGAACGCUGGCGGCGUGCUUAACACAUGCAAGUCGAACGGUAAGGCCCUUCGGGAUACACGAGUGGCGAACGGGUGAGUAACACGUGGGUGAUCUGCCCUGCACUUCGGGAUAAGCCUGGGAAACUGGGUCUAAUACCGGAUAGGACCACUGCCUGCAUGGGGGGUGGUGGAAAGCUUUUGCGGUGUGGGAUGGGCCCGCGGCCUAUCAGCUUGUUGGUGGGGUGAUGGCCUACCAAGGCGACGACGGGUAGCCGGCCUGAGAGGGUGACCGGCCACACUGGGACUGAGAUACGGCCCAGACUCCUACGGGAGGCAGCAGUGGGGAAUAUUGCACAAUGGGCGCAAGCCUGAUGCAGCAACGCCGCGUGAGGGAUGACGGCCUUCGGGUUGUAAACCUCUUUCAGCACCGACGAAGCGCAAGUGACGGUAGGUGCAGAAGAAGGACCGGCCAACUACGUGCCAGCCGCCGCGGUAA